Non-coding RNA from Pantherophis guttatus, 2995 nucleotides. The record is from RefSeq and is a predicted model, not a curated record. NCBI's taxonomy places the organism in Eukaryota, Metazoa, Chordata, Lepidosauria, Squamata, Colubridae.
ACAUUUUUUUCCCUUAUACAACAAGGGAAUAUAACAAGAUAUAUUGUACAUCUUGGCUAUAAAAUCUAGAUGAUUGUUUAAUGUUUGUGUGCUAUGGGGGGAAAGGAAGUGUCAAACAUAACACUUUUUCGCAAGGUCCUGAAGACUUGAUUUUGCCAACAGACCUUGGGAACCCAGAGUGGGAUGGAGCCCAAGAAGUAACUUAUUUGAUUCCUUGUUGUUGCUGUGAGGAUCACACAGAAGUUAGACAAAUAUGUUCAUUAUAAUAAACAUCAGAAAAAUGCUGUAUUCUUCUGAGGUCACACUGCCCUUUCAACAUAAUUUUCAAAGCUUGCAUAGUCCUAAUAUACAUUUACAUGCCUUUUUGCUAAUUGUGCUUCUAAUCCUAAAAGGUGAAGCCAGAAUAACUUUCUUAAAAUUUGCUCUGGGUAGAUUCAGCUUCUGAAUUUCUCAUCAACAGAACAAUUCAUUAAUUGCUGCUUACACACAGUUGCAUCAGUUCCAUUUAAAAGCUGAUUAUGGAUUAUCUCAUUCAUAUAUUCAAGAUCAUAUUGGGUCUAUUACUGGGUCUGUACUGAUGCAUACCAACCACCACAUAAUGAGAGCAAAAUUUCUCUAACUAAGAACAAAAAUUAGACAAGUUGCAAUGACACAACCAUCAAACAACUCUAUCAGAAUUACUAAGAAUAUUCAUCGACAUAUUGCAAUGCCCUUUGGGAAGGAAACCCCUGAGGCAGGAGUUGGUACAUUCCAACGACUCUCUGCCUAACUGACUUGCUGACUGAUGAAGCUGCUUGGAUGAGCAACAAAACCUCUCAAACUAACAACAAGAAUUAGUCCAGAUACAAUGACCCAACCUUCAAACAAUUCUACCUGGAUUACUGAGAAUUUUCAUUGAUACUAUGUAAUAUGUUUAGAGGAGCUUGGAGUCCGGAGUCCCAGAAUUUGGAUGUAAGUUAGCUCAUUAGAGAUAAUUUGUUUGAAAAAGUUUUGUUCCAUGAUGCACCGUUUCAUCCAAUUAAAGCUCAGCAUGGCUUACACCAGUUGACUUCAGGAAGCGCAGUAAACCUGACUUGUUGCCUUAAAUUAAAAGGUACACAAGCUGAUUGAAUUAUCAGAUCCUUUCUUUGCACUGCAAAUCUUUUCACUUCUACUGUUAAAACGCCAAGCCACCCCACACUGGCUCAAGUGAAAUUAUUAUUUUCUUGUUAAUUAGUAUUUGAGAUUAUUAAAAGAAAAUCCUUACCCAAGAAACUGAGCACCAGAAGGCCCAACCUCGAUAAGGCGACUGGCAAGACCAUCUCCUUCCACCAUGGGAGGCAUUGUGGCGAGUCUAUGGCGUUUGACCAACCGGCAAGUAACUCGAGUUGGAGCAGUGCAUUUCCGAGGUGGAAUAAUGAUUCGAAGCCCAUUGUGUCUGCAACCCCGCAUAGCACCACCUCGAGCAUCAACCAUAAAACUGACCAGAAAACUGAAAAUUGGGAAGAAAAAUUAGGCAUGAAAAUGAGUUAUAAUGCAUGUUACAGAACAUAAAUAUUUCAGAAGCAACAAAUUUUAAAUAUGUGUACUAACCAUUCUCAAUGAUCAAAAUUAAUAUGUAUAUUAUAUACUUAUGGUUAAACUGUAGUUAGAGCUUUUAAUUAACUGCACAGACAAAAAGAUCAGUAAUAUUUUUAUUAUUUUUAGGGAGUCAAACCAAUUAGCAUAAUACUAACAAAAACUCAGUUGAUUAAUUUGUACAAGUUGUCCUGGAUACUACAACAGAGUAACAUCCAGCUCUAUAACCUGUCCUAUGCUAAUAAUGUUGAUUAGAAAAUUGAGGCUAAUAUCAGAAUACAAUUAUUAACAAAAAAGAAAAUAUGGAAAAUGGGAAGAAGUUUUCUCAGUGUCAAUUUUUGUAAAAGUUGUAUCCUUGCAAGGACUAAAAUUUCUAGGAUGUUAUAAAGAUGUUGGAAUUCAUGCUCAUAUAAGGAAUCUGAUGCACACCUAUUAUUUGUCAUCUGAUGUUUAAAUGUAAUAAGAAUAACACCUGAAUUUGACAACUAGCAAAAUAUACUGUAAAAUGUAUGGAAAUGUAGCCAUGUGUGGUUUACACAUUUUUCAUUGGGAUCUUCUUGAAAUUCUGUCCCUUAAGAUAAAACUAAUAGGUAAUAUAAAUAUUUUGUAUGAAAAACAAAUACUGAAUUUAUUUCUUUUAAAGCAUCUACUAAGUUUUGAAUUUUUCCCAAGUCAAUAUUACAUGCAAAAUAUAAAUAAGCAAAUCAAUGUGGAUGAAGAUGAAGAACCAUGAUCUGCCAUCUUGAAACAUGCCAUGCAUCCUAAAGACUUUCCUAUAUCUCCUCUGUGUCUUUACCCCAAUGCAUUGAUGUUCCUCAAUAACAGUAAAAAAAAACAUUAGCAGUUACAAUGCUCCAUGUUUACAGCUACAAUGUCAAUCACACUUUCUAAUUUAUGGUUAUCAAAUAUACAAGAAUUAGCCUGCCCAAAGAAAAGUGGGGAGUUGCCAAUUCUAGAUCUUACCAAAUGCAGUCGGGGGAUUCAGGAAGGACAUUUUAUUUCUAGGUUUAAAGAGCAAUGGACUGUAGACAAACAGUUGGUAGUAGAAAAUUGCACAGAGAACAAGCAACACAAAGUUAUGGAAGAGUGCAUGCACUGGUGGUUUCAACAAGGAAAUAAUAUGUUAGCUAAAGUUUAUUUAUUUAUUUUUUAUUAAGGGUUUUGAAUUGUGUUUUGGACUUGGAAGUAAGUCCCAUUUUGAUUAAUGAAACUUAAUUCCUAAUAAAUUUGCCUGGGAUUUUCAUGUUUAUUUUUAAAUGUAUAACUCUUAUCUUUUCUUAACAGUCAAAGUUAUAUAACUGUAUGUGCUAGGCCUAUAUCAAAAUUGCAUAUAGUCAUAUAAAUCCUUGAUUUAGUAAUUCUUAAAGCUUUCUGAAUAAUCCUAACAAAUAUUAUAUGACAAUAACAGGAUGAAAAUAAAUGACGCACUUGUCCCAAA